AGCAGCCGCGGUAAUUCCAGCUCCAAUAGCGUAUAUUAAAGUUGUUGCAGUUAAAAAGCUCGUAGUUGAAUUUCGAGACCGGCUUACUGGUCGUGCUAUUGUACGUACUGGUAUAAUCGGUUUCUCCUUUCUGACGAACUUUAAUGCCAUUAAUUUGGUGUUUUAGGGAAUCAGGACUGUUACUUUGAAAAAAUUAGAGUGUUUAAAGCAGGCUCACGCUUGAAUACAUUAGCAUGGAAUAACGGAAUAGGACGUUUGAUUCUAUUUUGUUGGUUUCUAGGAUCGACGUAAUGAUUAAUAGGGAUAGUUGGGGGCAUUAGUAUUCAAUUGUCAGAGGUGAAAUUCUUGGAUUUAUUGAAGACUAACUACUGCGAAAGCAUUUGCCAAGGAUGUUUUCAUUAAUCAAGAACGAAAGUUAGGGGAUCGAAGACGAUCAGAUACCGUCGUAGUCUUAACCAUAAACUAUGCCGACUAGGGAUCGGAUGAUGUAAUUUUUAAUGACUCAUUCGGCGCCUUACGG
This 520-nucleotide ribosomal RNA is filed under the name uncultured Glomus. RNAcentral's name for it is "SSU rRNA". It matches the Rfam family "Eukaryotic small subunit ribosomal RNA", at positions 569 to 1093 of the family's 1831-position model. The record is from RNAcentral. Lineage: Eukaryota; Fungi; Glomeromycota; Glomeromycetes; Glomerales; Glomeraceae.